UUGGCUGGGGCGGCACGGCUGUCAAAUGAUAACGCAGGUGUCCUGAGGUGAGCUCAAUGAGAACGGAAAUCUCAUGUAGAACAAAAUGAUACAAGCUCACUUGAUUUUGAUUUUCAGUAUGAAUAGAAAUUGUGAAAGCAUGGCCUAUCGAUCCCUUAGUCCUUAUGAGUUUUAACCUAGGG
Molecule: non-coding RNA, 182 nt
Organism: Paramuricea clavata
Lineage: Eukaryota; Metazoa; Cnidaria; Anthozoa; Malacalcyonacea; Plexauridae
Source: the annotation of a GenBank genome assembly